GCAUGUGUCUUUAUAAUAGAACAAUUUAUAUUCCUUUGGGUAUAUACCCAGUAAUGUCAGACAACCUACAGAAUGGGAGAAAAAUUUUACAAACUAUGCAUCUGCAAAAGUCUAAUAUCCAGCAUCUAUAAGGAACUUAAACAAAUUUACAGGAAAAAAACCAAACAACCCAACUGAGAAGGAAACUAUUGUGUAAAGAAUCCACUGUUUGCCAGGUGCUGUCCCACACCGAGCAUGGUCUCUCAUUUCAAUUUCAUAAUCUUCCUGAAAACGAGGUGUGGUUAUUGCCAUCUGAAAGAUAAGUAUCUGAUUUUUUAUGGGGGGUCCCAACCCAGCCAAGGUCACUCAGUCAGGAAGCGGUGGGAUUUGGCAGAUUCAAGGGCAGCCCUGACUACAGAGCCAGAACCCAUUUCACCUUCACAGCCUACUUCCCAGAAAUUUGGUGGCUGCCUCUGUGCUAUGAUUUGGUUGCUACCUGCUGAAGCUUCAACCUCUCAUCACUACCAGAAGGACCACAUCACUAAAAGUCCAUCAAUGGGGUUACUCACUUUGAUGGGCCUGUGCAGCGUCAUUCAGGAAGCCCGUGGUACUCACAUCACUCUGGCCAGACGCUAACAAGAAAAUGAUCCACUGUGACGCAGCCGACCCCAUCCAGUGCAUCCACAUUACCUGGAAAGAAGCAAUUAUGCCCCUUUGGUUUCCUUGGAAAUGCUUGGUCUGUCUCUACCAUCCGCCCUGGCUCUUGAGAAAUACUCAUGCACGGUAGAGCUUUGACAGGGAGACAGUGUGUUUAUUUUCCAACUGAAAGUUUACAGAAUACAAAGUGAGCCUGUAAGAUGGUGGCCACUCUCCAGAGGCUUGUUGGUCAGACAGGAAAGAAAACCAGUGCACCAUCGGGAACGUGGAGGAGGCUGAAAGAGAGGGACAAACAUAUUGGAUUGGAUUGGGCCCCCACAGUCAAGUUCCUGCAAACCAAGCUGGGAGAUUUUCCUGACUAAGGGUUAUGUUCUUGGGCCUCAAAGCUCCCCAGCCAACGCCCAGCUUCUGUGCCGAGGAGGAUACAGGAGGACAGACACAGCCUCUGUGUCAGGAGGAGGGAAGAAGGACUAAUGUCUGUGGACACUCUGAGGCUCACAGGGAGAAGCCACACACUCGCAGCACCAGGUCUGUGGUUUUUCAUGACCCUACACUGUCCCCUAGAAGGAAGUACCACCCAGCAGAAACAGAAGCCAAGGAAUUUCCCCAUAGAGAUCAUGGCAUGGGCUUGAGUUCAAGAACUCAAUGGACAGCGGGCAGAAAUUGGAAAGCCCAGAGCCUCCACCACUAACUCCUGUGUGACUUCUGUAAGUCCCUUGCCCUUAAUUCACCCAUAUGAAAAAUUAGGAAAAAUGAUCUCUCACUUCUGAAAUUCAAUAAUUCUAUGAUGUCAGCAACUGGACCCAAGAGAUGAUGAGUUCUGCUACAGUUGUCUUGAUGAAAGUAAAAGCUGACAUUUUUUUAAGCAGCUGCUUAGAGUUUACCACUUGAGAUUUCAUGUAAUCCUUACAACCACUCUAGAAGGUUAGUAUUAUUAUAACCCAAACUCCUACCUUAUCCUGUAGGACCCUUCUGAUCUGGUCUCUCCUCCCUGUUUGGCCUUAUCUUGUACCUCCUUUUAUAAAACCCCAGCUGCAAGGAUUCUAAUCUUAGAUCUGUCUAGGACUUUCCUCUUGCCGUGUCCCUGCCUGGAAGGCCUUUCCUUCUGAUAUAUAAGCAGCUGGCUCUUCCUCCUCUUUCUGUGGCCAGCUAGACUGGCAUCUCAUCAGAGAGAACAACCUUGGCUUUAAAUCUUUCUUAGCCUCUAUCACUAUCUACAAUUAUGUCUCUUAUUUAUGUGUUUGCAGGUAUAUUAUCUCUGUUCUCCCACUAGACUUUAAGCUCAGUGGAUGCCAGGACCCUUAGAACAAAGCACAUAGCAAGUUUUCAGUGAAGCCUUGUUAACUUUCAAAUGAAGGAAUAAACGAAUGACUAUAUUUCCACUUCGCAGAUGAGUAAACAGAGGCUUGGAGGGGUGAUGAAAUUUGCCAACAGUCAUCAAUCGGUAAGUGUGACAGAAGUAGGACUGGAACCCAGGGCUGUCUGACCUCUGGCUUGAGUCUAUAACCGCUUGGCCAUACUGCCUUUCAGUUCCAGGAACAGGUGAUGCUUCCCGGCAGUGAGACUCGAAACCAGCGGGAGUUCCCAGCCAGAGACAUGAUCUAAGUGCCAAUGGCUGAAUGUCUGUGAGCAUUUCAAGUCAUUUUAAGAAUAGGCAACAUUAGCGGCACCAUUAAAGCCUGCUGUUCCUCCAGCCCAUCACUGCCAUCCCCACCUAUUAAAAUAAUGGCAUGAAAAAUAAACAGCCUUUAUGUACAAUUUU
RNAcentral lists this long non-coding RNA (2398 nucleotides) under Homo sapiens (human). RNAcentral's name for it is "HSALNT0276256". Lineage: Eukaryota; Metazoa; Chordata; Mammalia; Primates; Hominidae. The record is from RNAcentral.